GACGAACGCUGGCGGCGUGCCUAAUACAUGCAAGUCGAGCGAAUCACUAGGAGCUUGCUCCUGGUGGUUAGCGGCGGACGGGUGAGUAACACGUGGGCAACCUGCCUGUAAGACUGGGAUAACACCGGGAAACCGGUGCUAAUACCGGAUAAUCCUUUUCCUCUCAUGAGGAAAAGCUGAAAGUCGGUUUCGGCUGACACUUACAGAUGGGCCCGCGGCGCAUUAGCUAGUUGGUGAGGUAACGGCUCACCAAGGCGACGAUGCGUAGCCGACCUGAGAGGGUGAUCGGCCACACUGGGACUGAGACACGGCCCAGACUCCUACGGGAGGCAGCAGUAGGGAAUCUUCCACAAUGGACGAAAGUCUGAUGGAGCAACGCCGCGUGAGCGAUGAAGGCCUUCGGGUCGUAAAGCUCUGUUGUUAGGGAAGAACAAGUAUCGGAGUAACUGCCGGUACCUUGACGGUACCUAACCAGAAAGCCACGGCUAACUACGUGCCAGCCGCCGCGGUAA
This 512-nucleotide ribosomal RNA is filed under the name uncultured bacterium. Its description in RNAcentral is "partial 16S ribosomal RNA". It matches the Rfam family "Bacterial small subunit ribosomal RNA", at positions 28 to 523 of the family's 1533-position model. The record is from RNAcentral.